Molecule: long non-coding RNA, 634 nt
Filed under: Monodelphis domestica (gray short-tailed opossum)
Lineage: Eukaryota; Metazoa; Chordata; Mammalia; Didelphimorphia; Didelphidae
Description: lncRNA (ENSMODG00000032958.2)
Source: RNAcentral
GUGGAAGAAAUGUGGGCUUGUCAGAGCUCAUCUACCACAACCUGACUGUGGAGAAGGAGUAAACCCCUAAAUCAUCUUUGGAGAUCUGCUUUUCUUGUGACUAUGAAAGAGGAAGUAUCUCUGGCAACGAACGUGGCAAUGAGUACCUUUCUCAUCUCCCUGCAAAGCUAGAGUCCUCAUGUCAAAAUAUGACCAACUUACUUUUAGGCAGGUAUAGACUUCCAAUAAUCUUUUGUCAUUGCAAGAAUACUUUUCUGGGUAUUGAUGUCUGUCUUUAGGGAUAUAGUUAAGAACUAUGUUCUCAAUUUAUAGAAGUCUUUUUUUAACCAGUUUGUAAAUCUGGUUAAAAGAUUUUUUAUGCUAGAAAAUUUCCUGGAAGUUCUGGCCCAUACAGAUACUCUCUAAAUACCUCUCUUUUACAGUCAAUAGAAAAAUUAUCUGAGGUUUAAAAAAAUAACAUAUUUUUCUUUUAACAUGAUAGUUGUUUGUAGAUAUACCAAACAGAAGUUAAAACCCAGUUUAGAUGGUCUAGUUAACCUAGGGACUGUCAUUGGUAAAUCUAUUUUUGCCAAAUGAUUUAGCUUUUGUAACCAAAAACAAAAAUCAUUAAAUAAAGUCAAAAGGCAAAAUAACA